Molecule: non-coding RNA, 140 nt
Organism: Anaerobacillus sp.
Lineage: Bacteria; Bacillati; Bacillota; Bacilli; Caryophanales; Bacillaceae
Source: Rfam
AUAAAAAAAUCCUCGUAGGUUUACCUACGAGGUGCCUAAUGGCAAAAACAAAAACAGAUUCACUUUUGUUUUUGCACGAGGCUAUGGGAGAGGAGAAACCGGAGGAAGAACUUAUGGGGAAACGUAAGCCUUCUCCGCGG